GGAAAUCUUAAUUAGCCCUAGUAUUUGUUACUUAUUAGUGUUGUUGCAAACUUGUACUAAAUAAUCAUGUGGGUUGAUAUAGAAAGAAAAUGAAAGGGAAAAAUAAAUGGGAAAAUUGUGUUAUAUAGUGGUUGAAGAAGACUUUAAGGGCAAAAGUGAUAAGGUGUAAAAUAUAUAGAUUGAAGGGACUAUGUAUUGAUGACUUUAAGAUGUGUAAUUUCUGGCAAUGUUUCU
Molecule: long non-coding RNA, 234 nt
Filed under: Cicer arietinum (chickpea)
Lineage: Eukaryota; Viridiplantae; Streptophyta; Magnoliopsida; Fabales; Fabaceae
Description: long non-coding RNA (CARI_LNC002835)
Source: RNAcentral